This 67-nucleotide transfer RNA is filed under the name Dephomys defua (Defua Dephomys). RNAcentral's name for it is "tRNA-Thr". It matches the Rfam family "tRNA". From Rfam's summary of the family: Transfer RNA (tRNA) molecules are approximately 80 nucleotides in length. The record is from RNAcentral. Lineage: Eukaryota; Metazoa; Chordata; Mammalia; Rodentia; Muridae.
GCCUUGAUAGUAUAAAUAUUACUUUGGUCUUGUAAACCAAAAAUGAGAAAUUAAUUCUCUCAAGACA